ACAUUUCUAAUUUGUUUACCUCACAGGUAAAAUCGAAUUGCAAUUGUUUAUAUUUACAAAAAUUAGUGAUCGGUAAUACUAAUGACUUAAAAAUGCAAUAUUAUUUGUUUAGUAUAAUUUAAAUCCAGCAGUGUUGUUACAAAGUGCAAAUAUAACGGGUAUACACAAAUAAGAGGCUUUCGUGAAAGAGACAACUUUCCUAAUAAAAAUGGCUAAAUUUAAAUUCGACAUCAAAUGCAUUUUUAGUCAACCCGUUGUACAAAUAUCAUCCAACUUGUUACCUCACACAUUUAUAGGUGAUAGAAGAAUGGCCAUGGAUGUUACUUCAAAAGUGUCUCAAAUUAUUGACCGGUUAGGUGAACUUUCAGCCGUAGCGCAGAAACUGUCCAAGCCUAUUACAUCAGCACAAAAGCUGCGAAUGUCUGAAAAUCAAACAGUCUAUCUUAUGGCAGAUAUCAACGGAUGUGAUGGAGAUGUCGUUAUAGGACUUUUGAAAAUUGGUACCAAAAAUUUAUAUCUUUUCGAUAGUUCGGGUCAGACGAGGAAAAUUGACAAAGCUCGUUGUAUAUUAGAUUUUUACAUUCACGAAUCGAGACAGCGUAUGGGAGUAGGAAAAAUACUGUUCGAUAUAAUGCUUACAGAGGAGCACUGGACUCCAGUUAAAUGUUCAGUUGACAGACCAUCCGAAAAGUUAAUACAAUUCUUAAAGAAAUACUAUGGCUUGGAAAAAAUUAUACCACAAGCAAAUAAAUUUGUUCUGUAUGAGGGAUUUUUCGACGAAGAUGAGGAUGAUGACGUAAACAGGCGCAAGGUGAUGCUUCCAAUACACAACAGCAGCAGUAUCAAGGCAAACAGCCGUACAAUUUAAAUUCCACUCAUGCUCAUCAUCCAACAUCGGUGCCAGUGCAACCAAAUCAACAAACAACAGAAAUUCUAUCACAGCAACAAGUUUCCAGCCAUCAACCCCAAACAACUUCAGCACCUAUGCAGUGUAAAAAUCAGUUCAAAGAACCACAUUUAUCACAGCCACGAACUGAGGCGCGAAAUCAACAUGCUCAACAACAGCAACAACAACCCAUACAAUCAUCUCCUGUACCUGCUCCAGAACCGGAAUUGUGCACAACUUGCCCUAAUUGUCAAACAACGAUUUACCUUGUUCGAGGACACGAUACCAACAGUGAGCCCGCUCAAGGUUAUACCUCAAACCAACAUGAUACCACUGGUAGCACAACUGCUAAUUAGCACAUUACUUGAAUUGCGAUCGCUCUUUCUGUGCGCUCUUUCAAAAUAAGCAAUUUGUUUUUAUGUCAAGCCAAAUUUUUUUGUAAUAUAAAUUUUCCAAUGUAAAAUUUUUAAUAAAAAUUGUAGCUAUCAUUAAAAUGCA
Molecule: RNA transcript, 1384 nt
Organism: Bactrocera dorsalis (oriental fruit fly)
Lineage: Eukaryota; Metazoa; Arthropoda; Insecta; Diptera; Tephritidae
Gene name: alpha-tubulin N-acetyltransferase 1
Exons: 6
Source: RefSeq, a predicted model, not a curated record